AUAUAUAUAUAAAAGAAAGAAAGAAAAGAAACAGAGAGCAAAACAAAACAGAGAAGGGAGAAAGAAAGAAACAGAGAGCAAAACGAAACAGAGAAGGAAGGAAGGAAGGAAAGAAAAGAAAAAGGGAAAUUUGGGGUUUUAAGGUUCAAAGUAAUUUGGUAAGUCAAUUUAAUCCCCUUUUCUCUUAAUUUUGAUAUUUUUUUUGAAAUUCUAGAAUAAAAUACUACUUGAUUUAAGUUGAAAUUUUGAAAGUUAGUAGAUUAUUAAGCAUGGUUCAUGUUGAAUAAAUUGUUAAAUUAGGGAUGUAUUUGAUAGAAAUUUUGAUUGGAAUUGAAUAAAGGAUUGAAUUGUAAAUUAAACUAUAAGUUUUGAAUUUUAGGGAUUAAUUUGAAAUAAAUUCGGAAUUAUGAAAACAUGAUAAAAAUUAAAUAGUUAAAUAUGAGUUUAGUAAGAAUUAAGAGAGAAUAUAGAGUUAGAUUGGGAAAAAUAAAAUUAGUAUUGGUAAGGGAUUAAAUUAGAAUUUGGGUAAAGUUUAGGUAUAAAAGGAAAUAUUUUAAUGAAAUUGUGUAUUAAUGAUUUUUAAUUGUUUAAUUACGUAGCUAAUGUCGUGUACGAGUCAUUGUCCGAGAAAGGAAAGGAGAAAGUGGACAAGGAGUGACUCGAGAGAAAUUACGGUUAGUAUUACUAUAAUUCGAAUUUAAUUAUUAAUCGUUGAAAAUUAAAUUAAUAUACACGAUAAGCAAAUUGAGGUGAGUUUCAUAAUUGAAUUGAAUAAUAUAUAUACGUAUUGAUAUUGAAUUUAUUGACAGUAAUUAUUGAAUUUUGAAUAAUAUGUUAGUAAAUAAAAAUAAGGAGAAUAUCAAUAUUUAAUUGAAUGAAUUAAAAUAUGAAUUGAAUAAAUGAGAUAUUAAAUUGAGAUAUGUGAAUAUGUGAAUUGUGUAUUGAUUGAAAAGUGGUUUGAAUUGAAUCGAAGUAUGAUUAUAUGUGAAUAUCUGAAAUAUGUAUUGGUAUUGAAUUGUAUAUUGAUUUGAAAGUGGGAAGUGAAUCUGAGUUGAAUUGCGAUUAAAUCGAAAGUGAAUUUGAAAUAGAAAAAUGUAUUGAAACAAAUGGUGAUUAAAUGGGAAUGAUUUGAAUUGAAAGUAUGAGAAAGUGAUUGAAUUGAAAUGUGAUUCGGAAACCCUAUUAACUAGUCGGGCUGAGUCGGAUAUAGUUGGCAUGCCAUAGGAUUGGAAGAGUUCAGGGAUACUUCGACCUUGAGUCGAUGAGACACUGGGUGUCACUAUAUUUCUUCGGAUAGAUUCGAUGAGGUACUGGGUACCAACUUUACUUCGGUUGGGCCGAUGAGACACUGGGUGUCAACUAUUGCUUCGAACUAUCCGAUGAGGCACUGGGUGCCAUUUUGGUGUGUUUGGUUGGAUCCGUGUAUCCGCCAAGGUCCGAGUCUUGUUAAUAGGGGUAAAUAAUUGAAAUGAGAAAAUUGAAUAAAUGUGAUUGAUUGAGCUAUGGGAAGAAACGAAAAAGUGAAGUUGUGAAUUGAUGUGUGAAUUGGAAAUCGAAAUAAGAGAUUUAAAGAUAUGAGCCCAAAGUUCAUGAUGUGAUAAAGAGUAAAUUUUGUUAUAUGAUAUUAGUGAGUACAAAUUGCAAUAAAAUUUAUAUUGAAUAUAAAUUAAAUGAAAUGAAUUGUAUAUGAAUUGAAAUGAACUAUUGGAAUGAGAUGUAAAGAAAAAUCCAAUGGAAUUGAGAUAGUGAAAUAAGGUAUGAAUACAAUUAAAUACAAGAUUUGAAUUAUAGCUUAUUGUUAUUAAUUAUCAAGUUGAUUUAAUGCAUGAGAUAAUUAAUGAAUAAUUGUAGACAUAAAUAAAAUGUAUAUAAUUUAUCGAUUAAUGUUAUUAAUUCGAAUUAUGGUAAUACCACUGAGUAUUUCCAUACUCAGCGUAUGGUUGUUUCCGUGCGCAGGUUAGGUCAAAGUCGGAUUGUUGAAUCAGCAUCCAAAGCCGAUUCUGAGCUAAUUGUGGUGGUGAACAUUUCUUUUAGUUAUGGCAUGUAUAGGAAUUUAGUAAUUUUGUAUAUUUGUAAAUAUGAUUUUACUAUAGAAUGAUAUGUAAGUAUUUGAUGAUGAAUGGUUGUUUAAAUGGUCAAGGAUGAAGUUAAUUAUUGUUAUAAAAGUCUAAGUGAUAAAUUAGGUAUGAAAGUCAUAAAAUGGUAAAAUUUUGCAAAGAAACAGAAUUCAGGCAGCAAUAGUGACGUGAAUUUGAAAAAUCACCUAAGAUAGUAUAAAACGAAUUAGAGGGUGAAUGAUAUAUGGAAUUAAAGCUUGUUGAGUCUAUUUUCAUGGAAAAAUAACGGUGUAGAGAAAAGAAAUUUAUAUUUUAAGAUAUGUGAAUUUUAGUAAGAUAGGGUCAGAACUGUUUUUGGAGUCCCCUGUUCUGAGUUUAGAAAAUAAUUAAAAAUUGUACAAAAAUGUUUAUGAGUUGAAAUUUACAUGCUUAGAUUCCUUAAUGAGUCUAUUUUCUAUAGAAACAAGUAAGAACUUCAUAUGAAAAUCCUAUAGUGAGAAAACUUAUUUUUAGUGACUAGAGGUCAGGGCAGUCUGGUGGUGACACAGGGGAGACUUUAACUAAUAAACUGUACUAAUUUGCUGAACCAAAAAUUCUAAAAAUUUUAUGGUGAGUAUAUAUAUGAGUCUAGUUUCAGGAAAAAUUUACGAAAUUAAAUUUGGAGUUCCGUAGCUCGAGUUAUAAUCAAUUUAGUAACUGCUGCGCGAUUGGACAGAUUACUGUAAACAGUGAAAUUAAUUUUUAAAAC
This 2805-nucleotide long non-coding RNA is filed under the name Gossypium barbadense (sea-island cotton). RNAcentral describes it as "long non-coding RNA (GBAR_LNC016158)". The record is from RNAcentral. Lineage: Eukaryota; Viridiplantae; Streptophyta; Magnoliopsida; Malvales; Malvaceae.